Long non-coding RNA from Poecilia latipinna (sailfin molly), 273 nucleotides. RefSeq lists it as uncharacterized. The transcript is spliced from 3 exons. NCBI's taxonomy places the organism in Eukaryota, Metazoa, Chordata, Actinopteri, Cyprinodontiformes, Poeciliidae. The record is from RefSeq and is a predicted model, not a curated record.
GUGAGUUGUUAUGAGGCCCAGCACUCCUCAGCAUCUCUCUUCUCCCUUUCUCCUUCAGAAAAACAGAGACAAAAGAGAAGAGAGUCAACCUGAGCAUCUACGUAGCCGUUGACAACCACACAUAGCCGUUACAACAUGUCCCUGCAUGCAGACAACUGCAAGAAAACACCACUAAGGCUGUCGGAUCCUUCUGAGCUCCAGAGCGUCAGGCUGGUGUCCUCCAGGGAUAAUGUAGUUCUCAGGCCGGUUUGUGCUGCAGAUCUCGCAGCCCGG